This 400-nucleotide ribosomal RNA is filed under the name uncultured bacterium. RNAcentral's name for it is "bacterial SSU rRNA". It matches the Rfam family "Bacterial small subunit ribosomal RNA", at positions 355 to 772 of the family's 1533-position model. The record is from RNAcentral.
UGGGGAAUAUUGGACAAUGGGGGAAACCCUGAUCCAGCCAUGCCGCGUGAGUGAUGAAGGCCUUCGGGUUGUAAAGCUCUUUUGUCAGGGACGAUAAUGACGGUACCUGAAGAAUAAGCCCCGGCUAACUUCGUGCCAGCAGCCGCGGUAAUACGAAGGGGGCUAGCGUUGUUCGGAUUUACUGGGCGUAAAGGGCGCGUAGGCGGUUCUUUAAGUCAGAAGUGAAAGCCCUGGGCUCAACCCGGGAAUUGCUUUUGAAACUAUUGAGCUUGAGUAUGAGAGAGGUAAGUGGAAUACCCAGUGUAGAGGUAAAAUUCGUAGAUAUUGGGUGGAACACCAGUGGCGAAGGCGGCUUACUGGCUCAUUACUGACGCUGAGGCGCGAAAGCGUGGGGAGCAAA